Molecule: ribosomal RNA, 497 nt
Filed under: uncultured bacterium
Lineage: Bacteria
Description: partial 16S ribosomal RNA
Rfam family: Bacterial small subunit ribosomal RNA
Source: RNAcentral
GACGAACGCUGGCGGCGUGCCUAAUACAUGCAAGUUGAGCGAUGAAGCUUGGUGCUUGCACCAAUUUGAAGAGCAGCGAACGGGUGAGUAACGCGUGGGGAAUCUGCCUUUGAGCGGGGGACAACAUUUGGAAACGAAUGCUAAUACCGCAUAACAACUUUAAACAUAAGUUUUAAGUUUGAAAGAUGCAAUUGCAUCACUCAAAGAUGAUCCCGCGUUGUAUUAGCUAGUUGGUGAGGUAAAGGCUCACCAAGGCGAUGAUACUUAGCCGACCUGAGAGGGUGAUCGGCCACAUUGGGACUGAGACACGGCCCAAACUCCUACGGGAGGCAGCAGUAGGGAAUCUUCGGCAAUGGACGAAAGUCUGGCCGAGCAACGCUGCGUGAGUGAAGAAGGUUUUCGGAUCGUAAAACUCUGUUGGUAGAGAAGAACGUUGGUGAGAGUGGAAAGCUCAUCAAGUGACGGUAACUACCCAGAAAGGGACGGCUAACUACGUG